GCCCAGGUGGCGGAAUUGGUAGACGCACUACCUUGAGGUGGUAGCGGCGUAAGCUGUGGGGGUUCGAGUCCCCCCUUGGGCACCA
Molecule: transfer RNA, 85 nt
Filed under: Pseudolysobacter antarcticus
Lineage: Bacteria; Pseudomonadati; Pseudomonadota; Gammaproteobacteria; Lysobacterales; Rhodanobacteraceae
Description: tRNA-Leu
Rfam family: tRNA
About the family: Transfer RNA (tRNA) molecules are approximately 80 nucleotides in length. Their secondary structure includes four short double-helical elements and three loops (D, anti-codon, and T loops). Further hydrogen bonds mediate the characteristic L-shaped molecular structure. tRNAs have two regions of fundamental functional importance: the anti-codon, which is responsible for specific mRNA codon recognition, and the 3' end, to which the tRNAs corresponding amino acid is attached (by aminoacyl-tRNA synthetases). tRNAs cope with the degeneracy of the genetic code in two manners: having more than one tRNA (with a specific anti-codon) for a particular amino acid; and 'wobble' base-pairing, i.e. permitting non-standard base-pairing at the 3rd anti-codon position.
Source: RNAcentral